Long non-coding RNA from Pyrus x bretschneideri (Chinese white pear), 905 nucleotides. RefSeq lists it as uncharacterized. The transcript has 2 exons. The record is from RefSeq and is a predicted model, not a curated record. NCBI's taxonomy places the organism in Eukaryota, Viridiplantae, Streptophyta, Magnoliopsida, Rosales, Rosaceae.
ACUGGUUACUGUUUAGUUUAUGAGAAGCUGUGUGAUCUUUUUUGGAUGUUUGAUUCUUCAACCCUUUAAGAAUUGAAGGUUGCUUUCACAUCCGCAUCCUUUUCACUUAUUACUUUGACAAAUAACUGACAUUUUUGAUUGGUUUAGGUAUCAUCUUUUUACCACUCAUUACUUUUAAAAUCUUCUUUUUUUUCUUGUUCCUAGACUAGUGCAGUGCUUUCUUUAAUUUUCGUAACUUUUUUUUGUACCUUAUUUGAUAUAUACUUCAUUUAAUUAGUAGCAAACAAAAUAGUCUGUUGGUAAACCAUUAAAAUUUUGAAGGGUCAUUUGCCAGUGGAAAUUGGUACCCGUGAACAGUGCUCUGCACUCAGAACAGUAAUUGGUUUUGGAGGUGUAACUGGAGACUAAAAACUUGAACGAUUAUAACCUUAUCUUGCAGGGUAAAUGGAAGAACGCUACUAGAUGGAACACUAUUUUGGAACCUUUAAAUGUGGGGCCAUUCCUUAGAGUUUAGUUGAUGAAACCAGAAUUAAGGUAUGCUUGCAGCUUGUAUAAUACAAGUAUCCUUUUCGUUUUUUUUUUUUUUUUACAAAUCUAUCAUUUCCUUUGUAGAGUGCAUAUAUAUCUCUAUGUCAGUGUAUGUACCGUAACGAAUGUUUUUGGAUUGCUGGAUUGCUAUUGCAGCCAUUUGUAGAGAACUUGUCCAAGUGCCCAUGGUCUUCACAAUCCGUUCAAAGCACCAGAGAUAUUUGUGUUUAUUACCAUUCUAUUUCUAUGUCCUCAUUUAUCUUUAGGCAUCAUUUGUUCUCUAGAUUACUCGCAUAGAUUCAUGUAAUGGUAGAGGACAGCAAGAUUUUCAUUAACUCUUCCCUUUUGAAGAACUCGACAGUGAUAUUUUGCAACAA